RNAcentral lists this microRNA precursor (227 nucleotides) under Populus trichocarpa (black cottonwood). Its description in RNAcentral is "miR6455 stem-loop (ptc-MIR6455)". The record is from miRBase by way of RNAcentral. Lineage: Eukaryota; Viridiplantae; Streptophyta; Magnoliopsida; Malpighiales; Salicaceae.
AUGGCCUAAUUUUGAGUGGAUUUCAAAUGUUGAGGAUGUUUUUUGAUUAAAGUUGUUAAUUUGAAAUUAAGGGGUUCUAAUACGGAGGAAUUUACUGUAUGUGGAUUCUGCUGCUGUGAAUCUGUUGUGGAAUUUGAAAUUCUAAAUUGAAACUAAACAUAAAUAAAUAAAAUAACUUCAAUCAAAUAGCAUCCUCAACAUUUUAAAUUCACUCAAAAUUAAUCCAU